GAUGAACGCUGGCGGCGUGCCUAACACAUGCAAGUCGAACGAAGCUUGACGGAUGAUUUCUUCGGAAUGAAACCAGAUAUGACUUAGUGGCGGACGGGUGAGUAACACGUGAGCAACCUGCCUUUCAGAGGGGGAUAACGGCUGGAAACGGUCGCUAAUACCGCAUGAUGUGUUCGGAUGGCAUCAUCUGAACAUCAAAGAUUUAUCGCUGAAAGAUGGGCUCGCGUCUGAUUAGAUAGUUGGUGGGGUAACGGCCUACCAAGUCUACGAUCAGUAGCCGGACUGAGAGGUUGAACGGCCACAUUGGGACUGAGAUACGGCCCAGACUCCUACGGGAGGCAGCAGUGGGGAAUAUUGCACAAUGGGGGAAACCCUGAUGCAGCAACGCCGCGUGAAGGAUGACGGUUUUCGGAUUGUAAACUUCUUUUCUUAGGGACGAAGACAGUGACGGUAGCUAAGGAAUAAGCAUCGGCUAACUACG
RNAcentral lists this ribosomal RNA (481 nucleotides) under uncultured bacterium. Its description in RNAcentral is "partial 16S ribosomal RNA". It matches the Rfam family "Bacterial small subunit ribosomal RNA", at positions 28 to 505 of the family's 1533-position model. The record is from RNAcentral.